This 497-nucleotide ribosomal RNA is filed under the name uncultured bacterium. RNAcentral's name for it is "partial 16S ribosomal RNA". It matches the Rfam family "Bacterial small subunit ribosomal RNA", at positions 28 to 507 of the family's 1533-position model. The record is from RNAcentral.
GAUGAACGCUGGCGGCGUGCCUAAUACAUGCAAGUCGAACGAACGGACGAGAAUCUUGCUUCUCUGAUGUUAGCGGCGGGCGUGUGAAUAACACGUGGAUACCCUCCCUAUAAGACUGGGAUAACUUCGGGACACCGGCUCUAAUACCGUAUGAUCUUUUGAACCACGUGGUUCAAAGGUGAGAUACGGUCUUGCGGUCACUUCUAGCGGGUUCCCCGCUUCAUUAGCUAGUUGUUAAGUUAACGGCUUACGAAGGCAACGAUGCAUAGCCGACCUGAGGGGGUGAUCGGCCACACUGGAACUGAGACACGGUCCAGACUACUACGGGAGGCAGCAGUAGGGAAUCUUCCGCAAUGGGCGAAAGCCUGACGGAGCAACGACGCGUGAGUGAUGAAGGUCUUCGGAUCGUAAAACUCUGUUAUUAGGGAAGAACAUAUGUGUAAGUAACUGUGCACAUCUUGACGGUACCUAAUCAGAAAGCCACGGCUAACUACGUG